AUCCUGGCUCAGACGAACGCUGGCGGCGUGCUUAACACAUGCAAGUCGAACGAUGAUCCGGUGCUUGCACCGGGGAUUAGUGGCGAACGGGUGAGUAACACGUGAGUAACCUGCCCUGGACUCUGGGAUAACCCCGAGAAAUCGGAGCUAAUACCGGAUAUGACCUUGGACCGCAUGGUUUGGGGUGGAAAGUUUUUCGGUCUGGGAUGGACUCGCGGCCUAUCAGCUUGUUGGUGAGGUAAUGGCUCACCAAGGCGUCGACGGGUAGCCGGCCUGAGAGGGUGACCGGCCACACUGGGACUGAGACACGGCCCAGACUCCUACGGGAGGCAGCAGUGGGGAAUAUUGCACAAUGGGCGCAAGCCUGAUGCAGCAACGCCGCGUGAGGGAUGACGGCCUUCGGGUUGUAAACCUCUUUUAGUAUGGAAGAAGGGGCCUCUUUCGGGGUCUUGACGGUACUUGCAGAAAAAGCACCG
Molecule: ribosomal RNA, 476 nt
Filed under: uncultured bacterium
Lineage: Bacteria
Description: bacterial SSU rRNA
Rfam family: Bacterial small subunit ribosomal RNA
Source: RNAcentral